CGGCGCGCUUCGGCGCUGCCUUAUUCACCCACCCUUUGUCUACGUGUACCUCCAUAGCUUCCUCGGCGGGCUCGCCCGCCGCCAGGAACCCACGAAACCCCUUGCAUUAUACACGAAAACUUCUGAUAACAAACCUAAAUUAUCACAACUUUCAACAAUGGAUCUCUUGGUUCUGGCAUCGAUGAAGAACGCAGCGAAAUGCGAUAAGUAGUGUGAAUUGCAGAAUUCAGUGAAUCAUCGAAUCUUUGAACGCACAUUGCGGCCAUAGGUAUUCCUUUGGCCAUGCCUGUUCGAGCGUCAUUUACACCCUCAAGCCUAGCUUGGUGUUGGGCGUCUGUCCCGCCGUUUACGCGCGCGGACUCGCCUCAAAGUCAUUGGCGGCGGUCGUGCCGGCCCCUCGCGCAGCACAUUUGCGCUUCUCGGAGGCCCGGCGGAUCCGCGCUCCAGCAAAGACCUUUCAUGACUUGACCUCGGAUCAGGUAGGGAUACCCGCUGAACUUAAGCAUAUCAAAGCGGGGGGAGAAAAACCUAUUCACUC
RNAcentral lists this ribosomal RNA (538 nucleotides) under Periconia sp. ORE1. Its description in RNAcentral is "eukaryotic LSU rRNA". The stretch from base 147 to 300 matches the Rfam family "5.8S ribosomal RNA". Lineage: Eukaryota; Fungi; Ascomycota; Dothideomycetes; Pleosporales; Periconiaceae. The record is from RNAcentral.